RNAcentral lists this ribosomal RNA (2987 nucleotides) under Salmonella enterica subsp. enterica serovar Westhampton. RNAcentral's name for it is "23S ribosomal RNA". It matches the Rfam family "Bacterial large subunit ribosomal RNA". The record is from RNAcentral. Lineage: Bacteria; Pseudomonadati; Pseudomonadota; Gammaproteobacteria; Enterobacterales; Enterobacteriaceae.
GGUUAAGCGACUAAGCGUACACGGUGGAUGCCCUGGCAGUCAGAGGCGAUGAAGGGCGUGCUAAUCUGCGAUAAGCGCCGGUAAGGUGAUAUGAACCGUUAUAACCGGCGAUACCCGAAUGGGGAAACCCAGUGUGAUUCGUCACACUAUCAUUAACUGAAUCCAUAGGUUAAUGAGGCGAACCGGGGGAACUGAAACAUCUAAGUACCCCGAGGAAAAGAAAUCAACCGAGAUUCCCCCAGUAGCGGCGAGCGAACGGGGAGGAGCCCAGAGCCUGAAUCAGCAUGUGUGUUAGUGGAAGCGUCUGGAAAGGCGCGCGAUACAGGGUGACAGCCCCGUACACAAAAGCGCAUGUGCUGUGAGCUCGAUGAGUAGGGCGGGACACGUGGUAUCCUGUCUGAAUAUGGGGGGACCAUCCUCCAAGGCUAAAUACUCCUGACUGACCGAUAGUGAACCAGUACCGUGAGGGAAAGGCGAAAAGAACCCCGGCGAGGGGAGUGAAAAAGAACCUGAAACCGUGUACGUACAAGCAGUGGGAGCACAGGUUUACCUGUGUGACUGCGUACCUUUUGUAUAAUGGGUCAGCGACUUAUAUUCUGUAGCAAGGUUAACCGAAUAGGGGAGCCGGAGGGAAACCGAGUCUUAAUUGGGCGUUAAGUUGCAGGGUAUAGACCCGAAACCCGGUGAUCUAGCCAUGGGCAGGUUGAAGGUUGGGUAACACUAACUGGAGGACCGAACCGACUAAUGUUGAAAAAUUAGCGGAUGACCUGUGGCUGGGGGUGAAAGGCCAAUCAAACCGGGAGAUAGCUGGUUCUCCCCGAAAGCUAUUUAGGUAGCGCCUCGUGAAUUCAUCUCCGGGGGUAGAGCACUGUUUCGGCUAGGGGGCCAUCCCGGCUUACCAACCCGAUGCAAACUGCGAAUACCGGAGAAUGUUAUCACGGGAGACACACGGCGGGUGCUAACGUCCGUCGUGAAGAGGGAAACAACCCAGACCGCCAGCUAAGGUCCCAAAGUCAUGGUUAAGUGGGAAACGAUGUGGGAAGGCCCAGACAGCCAGGAUGUUGGCUUAGAAGCAGCCAUCAUUUAAAGAAAGCGUAAUAGCUCACUGGUCGAGUCGGCCUGCGCGGAAGAUGUAACGGGGCUAAACCAUGCACCGAAGCUGCGGCAGCGAACGUAUCACUUAAAGCGAUUCAGCGGGUUACGAUUGACGGAGCGAAGCGACGUCAAAGCGUAUACAAAGUCGAGUCGGUUUAAGGAUACGUUCGUUGGGUAGGGGAGCGUUCUGUAAGCCUGCGAAGGUGGCCUGUGAGGGUUGCUGGAGGUAUCAGAAGUGCGAAUGCUGACAUAAGUAACGAUAAAGCGGGUGAAAAGCCCGCUCGCCGGAAGACCAAGGGUUCCUGUCCAACGUUAAUCGGGGCAGGGUGAGUCGACCCCUAAGGCGAGGCCGAAAGGCGUAGUCGAUGGGAAACGGGUUAAUAUUCCCGUACUUGGUGUUACUGCGAAGGGGGGACGGAGAAGGCUAUGUUGGCCGGGCGACGGUUGUCCCGGUUUAAGCGUGUAGGCUGGUUUUCCAGGCAAAUCCGGAAAAUCAAGGCUGAGGCGUGAUGACGAGGCACUACGGUGCUGAAGCAACAAAUGCCCUGCUUCCAGGAAAAGCCUCUAAGCAUCAGGUAACAUCAAAUCGUACCCCAAACCGACACAGGUGGUCAGGUAGAGAAUACCAAGGCGCUUGAGAGAACUCGGGUGAAGGAACUAGGCAAAAUGGUGCCGUAACUUCGGGAGAAGGCACGCUGACACGUAGGUGAAGUGAUUUACUCAUGGAGCUGAAGUCAGUCGAAGAUACCAGCUGGCUGCAACUGUUUAUUAAAAACACAGCACUGUGCAAACACGAAAGUGGACGUAUACGGUGUGACGCCUGCCCGGUGCCGGAAGGUUAAUUGAUGGGGUCAGCGCAAGCGAAGCUCCUGAUCGAAGCCCCGGUAAACGGCGGCCGUAACUAUAACGGUCCUAAGGUAGCGAAAUUCCUUGUCGGGUAAGUUCCGACCUGCACGAAUGGCGUAAUGAUGGCCAGGCUGUCUCCACCCGAGACUCAGUGAAAUUGAACUCGCUGUGAAGAUGCAGUGUACCCGCGGCAAGACGGAAAGACCCCGUGAACCUUUACUAUAGCUUGACACUGAACAUUGAGCCUUGAUGUGUAGGAUAGGUGGGAGGCUUUGAAGUGUGGACGCCAGUCUGCAUGGAGCCGACCUUGAAAUACCACCCUUUAAUGUUUGAUGUUCUAACGUGGACCCGUAAUCCGGGUUGCGGACAGUGUCUGGUGGGUAGUUUGACUGGGGCGGUCUCCUCCUAAAGAGUAACGGAGGAGCACGAAGGUUGGCUAAUCCUGGUCGGACAUCAGGAGGUUAGUGCAAUGGCAUAAGCCAGCUUGACUGCGAGCGUGACGGCGCGAGCAGGUGCGAAAGCAGGUCAUAGUGAUCCGGUGGUUCUGAAUGGAAGGGCCAUCGCUCAACGGAUAAAAGGUACUCCGGGGAUAACAGGCUGAUACCGCCCAAGAGUUCAUAUCGACGGCGGUGUUUGGCACCUCGAUGUCGGCUCAUCACAUCCUGGGGCUGAAGUAGGUCCCAAGGGUAUGGCUGUUCGCCAUUUAAAGUGGUACGCGAGCUGGGUUUAGAACGUCGUGAGACAGUUCGGUCCCUAUCUGCCGUGGGCGCUGGAGAACUGAGGGGGGCUGCUCCUAGUACGAGAGGACCGGAGUGGACGCAUCACUGGUGUUCGGGUUGUCAUGCCAAUGGCACUGCCCGGUAGCUAAAUGCGGAAGAGAUAAGUGCUGAAAGCAUCUAAGCACGAAACUUGCCCCGAGAUGAGUUCUCCCUGAGACUUUAGGUCUCCUGAAGGAACGUUGAAGACGACGACGUUGAUAGGCCGGGUGUGUAAGCGCAGCGAUGCGUUGAGCUAACCGGUACUAAUGAACCGUGAGGCUUAACCUU